UUCACUCUGCAGAUAUAAUAACAGUCAACAGACUCUUCUAUUGGCUCCAGUUAGACCAACAUUGAUGCUUCAUGUGUUUGAUUCUAUGCAAACUCAGUGACCUUCCUUGUUACUCAGCUAUAAAAACUUCCCAUCAGGCUGUCAGUGGAGUUCACAGCACAUCAGUUUCAACAUCAACCAUGUUUUCUGUAGCUCUGCUGCUGCUGUUGGCAGCUGGAUAUGUGAAGUGUGAACAGCUGACACAGCCAGCCUCUGUGACUGUGCAGCCAGGUCAACGUCUGACCAUCACCUGUCAGGUCUCUUAUUCUCUUAGUGGCUACUGGACAGCUUGGAUCAGACAGCCUGCAGGGAAAGGACUGGAGUGGAUUGGAAGGAGAGUUGGUUCCAGCACAAACUACAAAGAUUCACUAAAGAACAAGUUCAGUAUCGACUUAGACUCUUCCAGCAACACAGUGACUCUAAACGGACAGAAUGUGCAGCCUGAAGACACUGCUGUGUAUUACUGUGCCAGAGAGCCACAAUAACACAAACCAUCAGUAGACCUGAACAAAAACCCCUCAGUGCCUGAACACUUGUAACAUGAAGCCACCAGAGGAGGAGCCCUCAGACCACUAAUGGUUUCAACACCAGCUCACUGUUACAGUAAAGAGGGAAACAGUCUUUAGAUUUUAUAAAUGGUUCUUAAUAUAAUUUAAAAGCAACUGAAAUACUCUGACAUUCACUGAUACAUCAUUGUUUGUACUGGAUGUAUAUAUAAGCUUUAAAGUGAGGGAAUGAAUUUAGCUCAUAACUUGCUUUUUAAAGCUCAGCAUGUAAAUUGGCCUCCUUGUGUGUUGCAUCAUAAGGAAGUGAAUAGCGUGUCUGUCAGUUAAAGUUACCUUCUCCAGCAAAUGUCAGGUUUAUCAUUUAAAAACUUGUAUCCCCAACCA
Molecule: non-coding RNA, 929 nt
Organism: Siniperca chuatsi (mandarin fish)
Lineage: Eukaryota; Metazoa; Chordata; Actinopteri; Centrarchiformes; Sinipercidae
Source: the annotation of a RefSeq genome assembly